RNAcentral lists this ribosomal RNA (253 nucleotides) under uncultured bacterium. RNAcentral's name for it is "partial 16S ribosomal RNA". It matches the Rfam family "Bacterial small subunit ribosomal RNA", at positions 524 to 776 of the family's 1533-position model. The record is from RNAcentral.
UACGUAGGGGGCAAGCGUUGUCCGGAAUCAUUGGGCGUAAAGAGCGUGUAGGCGGCCCGAUAAGUCCGCUGUGAAAGUCCAGGGCUCAACCCUGGAAUGCCGGUGGAUACUGUCGGGCUCGAAUCCGGAAGAGGUGAGUGGAAUUCCUGGUGUAGCGGUGAAAUGCGUAGAUAUCGAGAGGAACACCUGCGGCGAAGGCGGGUAGCUGGGCCGACACUGACGCUGAGGCGCGAAAGCCGGGGGAGCGAACGGG